UAGCUAGUUGGUGAGGUAAAGGCUUACCAAGGCGACGAUCUGUAGCGGGUCUGAGAGGAUGAUCCGCCACACUGGAACUGAGACACGGUCCAGACUCCUACGGGAGGCAGCAGUGGGGAAUUUUGGACAAUGGGGGCAACCCUGAUCCAGCCAUGCCGCGUGAGUGAAGAAGGCCUUCGGGUUGUAAAGCUCUUUCGGCCGGGAAGAAAUCGCAUGGGCCAAUACCCUGUGUGGAUGACGGUACCGGAAUAAGAAGCACCGGCCAACUACGUGCCAGCAGCCGCGGUAAUACGUAGGGUGCGAGCGUUAAUCGGAAUUACUGGGCGUAAAGCGUGCGCAGGCGGUUUUGUAAGACAGGCGUGAAAUCCCCGGGCUUAACCUGGGAACUGCGUUUGUGACUGCAAGGCUAGAGUACGGCAGAGGGGGGUGGAAUUCCACGUGUAGCAGUGAAAUGCGUAGAGAUGUGGAGGAACACCAAUGGCGAAGGCAGCCCCCUGGGUCGAUACUGACGCUCAUGCACGAAAGCGUGGGUAGCAAACAGGAUUAGAUACCCUGGUAGUCCACGCCCUAAACUAUGUCAACUAGGUGUUGGGUGGGUAAAACCAUUUAGUACCGUAGCUAACGCGUGAAGUUGACCGCCUGGGGAGUACGGCCGCAAGGUUAAAACUCAAAGGAAUUGACGGGGACCCGCACAAGCGGUGGAUGAUGUGGAUUAAUUCGAUGCAACGCGAAAAACCUUACCUACCCUUGACAUGCCAGGAACUUGCCAGAGAUGGCUUGGUGCCCGAAAGGGAGCCUGGACACAGGUGCUGCAUGGCUGUCGUCAGCCCGUGUCGUGAGAUGUUGGGUUAAGUCCCGCAACGAGCGCAACCCUUGUCGUUAAUUGCCAUCAUUUAGUUGGGCACUUUAACGAGACUGCCGGUGACAAACCGGAGGAAGGUGGGGAUGACGUCAAGUCCUCAUGGCCCUUAUGGGUAGGGCUUCACACGUCAUACAAUGGUCGGUACAAAGGGUUGCCAAGCCGCGAGGCGGAGCCAAUCCCAGAAAGCCGAUCGUAGUCCGGAUUGCAGGCUGCAACUCGCCUGCAUGAAGUCGGAAUCGCUAGUAAUCGUGGAUCAGCAUGUCACGGUGAAUACGUUCCCGGGUCUUGUACACACCGCCCGUCACACCAUGGGAGCGGGUUCCGCCAGAAGUAGGUAGCCUAACCGCAAGGGGGGCGCUUACCACGGCGGGGUUCGUGACUGGGGUGAAGUCGUAACAAGGUAGCCGUAGGGGAACCUGCGGCUG
Molecule: ribosomal RNA, 1287 nt
Filed under: metagenome
Description: bacterial SSU rRNA
Rfam family: Bacterial small subunit ribosomal RNA
Source: RNAcentral